UGGACCGGCGGUGACUGGCGUUGAACGUGGGGAACCACGGGGAAGCCGCUUCGGGAAUUUCAAUGGAUCGCACGCCUGGGUCGGACAC
Regulatory RNA element from Deinococcus maricopensis DSM 21211, 88 nucleotides. It matches the Rfam family "ZMP/ZTP riboswitch aptamer (pfl RNA motif)". From Rfam's summary of the family: Previously known as pfl RNA. ZMP is also known as AICAR. Lineage: Bacteria; Thermotogati; Deinococcota; Deinococci; Deinococcales; Deinococcaceae. The record is from Rfam.